RNAcentral lists this ribosomal RNA (519 nucleotides) under uncultured bacterium. Its description in RNAcentral is "bacterial SSU rRNA". It matches the Rfam family "Bacterial small subunit ribosomal RNA", at positions 777 to 1300 of the family's 1533-position model. The record is from RNAcentral.
AAUAGAUACCCUGGUAGUCCACGCCCUAAACGAUGAUAACUCGAUGUUUGCGAUACACAGUAAGCGUCUUAGCGAAAGCGUUAAGUUAUCCACCUGGGGAGUACGGUCGCAAGAUUGAAACUCAAAGGAAUUGACGGGGGCCCGCACAAGCGGAGGAGCAUGUGGUUUUAAUUCGAUGAUACGCGAGGAACCUUACCCGGGCUUGAAAGUUAGUGAAUGAGACAGAGACGUCUCAGUCCUUCGGGACACGAAACUAGGUGCUGCAUGGCCGUCGUCAGCUCGUGCCGUGAGGUGUUGGGUUAAGUCCGCAACGAGCGCAACCCUAUGUUUAGUUGCCAGCACGUCAUGGUGGGGACUCUAAACAGACUGCCUGUGCAAACAGAGAGGAAGGUGGGGACGACGUCAAGUCAUCAUGGCCCUUACGUCCGGGGCUACACACGUGCUACAAUGGAUGGUACAGCGGGCAGCUACAUAGCAAUAUGAUGCUAAUCUCUAAAACGCCAUUCACAGUUCGGAUUG